GCCCGGGCCGAAAUAGCUCAGUUGGGAGAGCGUUAGACUGAAGAUCUAAAGGUCCCUGGUUCGAUCUCGGCAGAAGCUUGGGCU
Non-coding RNA from Engraulis encrasicolus (European anchovy), 84 nucleotides. Lineage: Eukaryota; Metazoa; Chordata; Actinopteri; Clupeiformes; Engraulidae. The record is from the annotation of a RefSeq genome assembly.